This 384-nucleotide ribosomal RNA is filed under the name Oodinium sp. Its description in RNAcentral is "partial small subunit ribosomal RNA". It matches the Rfam family "Eukaryotic small subunit ribosomal RNA", at positions 587 to 975 of the family's 1831-position model. Lineage: Eukaryota; Dinophyceae; Peridiniales; Oodiniaceae. The record is from RNAcentral.
AGCUCCAAUAGCGUAUAUUAAAGUUGUUGCGGUUGAAAAGCUCGUAGUUGGAAUUCUGUCUAGAGCAACUAGUCCGCUCAUUGGGUGUGCAUUUGGUUCGCUCUUGGCAUUCUUCAGAUUAGCUGUGAUGCACUUGACUGUGUGUCCUGGGGAUCUGAUCUUUUACUUUGAGGAAAUUAAAGUGUUUCACGCAGGCAUACGCCUUGAAUUUAAUAGCAUGGAAUAAUGGUUUAGGACCUUAGUUCUAACUUGUUGGUUCUUAGGAAGAAGGUAAUGGUUAACAGGGAUAAUUGGGGGUAUUCGUAUUUAACUGUCAGAGGUGAAAUUCUUGGAUUUGUUAAAGACGGACAACUGCGAAAGCAUUUGCCAAGGAUGUUUUCAUUG